UACGUAGGGGGCAAGCGUUGUCCGGAAUUAUUGGGCGUAAAGGGCUCGUAGGCGGUCUGUUGCGUCGGGAGUGAAAACUCAGGGCUUAACCCUGAGCCUGCUUCCGAUACGGGCAGACUAGAGGUAUGCAGGGGAGAACGGAAUUCCUGGUGUAGCGGUGAAAUGCGCAGAAAUCAGGAGGAACACCGGUGGCGAAGGCGGUUCUCUGGGCAUUACCUGACGCUGAGGAGCGAAAGCGUGGGGAGCGAACAGG
RNAcentral lists this ribosomal RNA (253 nucleotides) under uncultured bacterium. Its description in RNAcentral is "partial 16S ribosomal RNA". It matches the Rfam family "Bacterial small subunit ribosomal RNA", at positions 524 to 776 of the family's 1533-position model. The record is from RNAcentral.